GGAGUUGUAGCUCAGUGGUAGAGCGCUCGCCUCACACAUGCGGGACCCUGGGUUCGAUCCUCAGCACCA
RNAcentral lists this transfer RNA (69 nucleotides) under Marmota monax (woodchuck). It matches the Rfam family "tRNA". Rfam says of the family: Transfer RNA (tRNA) molecules are approximately 80 nucleotides in length. Their secondary structure includes four short double-helical elements and three loops (D, anti-codon, and T loops). Further hydrogen bonds mediate the characteristic L-shaped molecular structure. tRNAs have two regions of fundamental functional importance: the anti-codon, which is responsible for specific mRNA codon recognition, and the 3' end, to which the tRNAs corresponding amino acid is attached (by aminoacyl-tRNA synthetases). tRNAs cope with the degeneracy of the genetic code in two manners: having more than one tRNA (with a specific anti-codon) for a particular amino acid; and 'wobble' base-pairing, i.e. permitting non-standard base-pairing at the 3rd anti-codon position. Lineage: Eukaryota; Metazoa; Chordata; Mammalia; Rodentia; Sciuridae. The record is from Rfam by way of RNAcentral.